UUUAACACUCCAACCAUUAAAUUUAAAGUUCUUAAUGCAUAAAUUAAGUCUACAAUUUAUUAAAAAACUUGAAAUCAUUUGAUACUUCUUUUCAUUAAUUUAUUUUGACAAAUAAUCAUAAAAUUAUUUUAUACGUUGAUUUGUUUAAAAAUUUAUAAAUUUAAUCUAUGCAUUAAGAACUUUAAAUUGAAUGGUUGAAUUGUUAAA
This 207-nucleotide microRNA precursor is filed under the name Cajanus cajan (pigeon pea). RNAcentral describes it as "miRNA gene-KK1_024920". The record is from RNAcentral. Lineage: Eukaryota; Viridiplantae; Streptophyta; Magnoliopsida; Fabales; Fabaceae.